UACGUAGGGUACAAGCGUUGUCCGGAAUUAUUGGGCGUAAAGAGCUCGUAGGUGGUCUGUCACGUCUGCUGUGGAAACGCAAGGCUCAACCUUGCGCGUGCAGUGGGUACGGGCGGACUAGAGUGCAGUAGGGGAGUCUGGAAUUCCUGGUGUAGCGGUGAAAUGCGCAGAUAUCAGGAGGAACACCGGUGGCGAAGGCGGGACUCUGGGCUGUAACUGACGCUGGAGGAGCGAAAGCAUGGGGAGCGAACAGG
RNAcentral lists this ribosomal RNA (254 nucleotides) under uncultured bacterium. RNAcentral's name for it is "partial 16S ribosomal RNA". It matches the Rfam family "Bacterial small subunit ribosomal RNA", at positions 524 to 776 of the family's 1533-position model. The record is from RNAcentral.